GACGAACGCUGGCGGCGUGCCUAAUACAUGCAAGUCGAGCGGACGAAUCGAAAGCUUGCUUUUGAUUCGUUAGCGGCGGACGGGUGAGUAACACGUGGGCAACCUGCCCUGUAGACGGGGAUAACACCGAGAAAUCGGUGCUAAUACCGGAUAACACGAAAUGUCGCAUGACGUUUCGUUGAAAGACGGCGCACGCUGUCGCUACAGGAUGGGCCCGCGGCGCAUUAGCUAGUUGGUGAGGUAACGGCUCACCAAGGCGACGAUGCGUAGCCGACCUGAGAGGGUGAUCGGCCACACUGGGACUGAGACACGGCCCAGACUCCUACGGGAGGCAGCAGUAGGGAAUCUUCCGCAAUGGACGAAAGUCUGACGGAGCAACGCCGCGUGAGCGAAGAAGGCCUUCGGGUCGUAAAGCUCUGCUGUUAGGGAAGAACAAGUAACGCAGUAACUGGCGUUACCGUGACGGUACCUAACGAGAAAGCCACGGCUAACUACGUG
This 498-nucleotide ribosomal RNA is filed under the name uncultured bacterium. Its description in RNAcentral is "partial 16S ribosomal RNA". It matches the Rfam family "Bacterial small subunit ribosomal RNA", at positions 28 to 507 of the family's 1533-position model. The record is from RNAcentral.